GACGAACGCUGGCGGCGUGCUUAACACAUGCAAGUCGAACGGAAAGGCCUGCUUUCCCUUGUGGAUUGCGGGUACUCGAGUGGCGAACGGGUGAGUAACACGUGAGUGAUCUGCCCCCAACUUGGGUAUAAGCCUGGGAAGCUGGGUCUAAUUCCCGAUAGGACUGCAGGGUGGUGCCUGUGGUGGAAAACGAUUUUCUAGUGGUUGGGGAUGAGCUCGCGGCCUAUCAGCUUGUUGGUGGGGUAAUGGCCUACCAAGGCGGCGACGGGUAGCCGGCCUGGGAGGGUGGACCGCCCCCUUGCGACUGGGAUACCGCCCCGACUCCUACGGGAGGCCGGAGUUGGGAAUAAUGGACCAAGGGCGGAAGCCUGAUGCAGCGACGCCGCGUGGGGGAUGACGGCCUUCGGGUUGUAAACUCCUUUCGACCGCGAGGAAGCCACCUGGUUGGAAGGGUGGUGACGGUAGUGGUAGAAGAAGCACCGGCUAACUACGUG
RNAcentral lists this ribosomal RNA (494 nucleotides) under uncultured bacterium. RNAcentral describes it as "partial 16S ribosomal RNA". It matches the Rfam family "Bacterial small subunit ribosomal RNA", at positions 28 to 507 of the family's 1533-position model. The record is from RNAcentral.